This is a non-coding RNA of Leclercia adecarboxylata, 84 nucleotides long. NCBI's taxonomy places the organism in Bacteria, Pseudomonadati, Pseudomonadota, Gammaproteobacteria, Enterobacterales, Enterobacteriaceae. The record is from Rfam.
GCUAUGAUGCCUUAGCCAGCCCGCGUUCGCGCUAUGACCCGGGCGGUGUACGUUAUUACGUGCAUGAAUAAUUAUCAGAAAUCU